GAUGAACGCUGGCGGCGUGCCUAACACAUGCAAGUCGAACGGAGAUUACGGACGGAAGUUUUCGGAUGGAAGCCUGUAAUUCUUAGUGGCGGACGGGUGAGUAACGCGUGGGCAACCUGCCCUAUACAGGGGGAUAGCAGCUGGAAACGGCUGGUAAGACCGCAUAAGUCGGUUAAAUCGCAUGAUUUGAUCGGGAAAUGAGCAAUCAGGUAUAGGAUGGGCCCGCGUCCGAUUAGCCAGUUGGCAGGGUAAAAGCCUACCAAAGCGACGAUCGGUAGCCGGACUGAGAGGUCGGACGGCCACAUUGGGACUGAGACACGGCCCAAACUCCUACGGGAGGCAGCAGUGGGUGAUAUUGCACAAUGGAGGAAACUCUGAUGCAGCGACGCCGCGUGAGUGAAGAAGUAUUUCGGUAUGUAAAGCUCUAUCAGCAGGGAAGAUGAUGACGGUACCUGACUAAGAAGCCCCGGCUAACUACGUG
RNAcentral lists this ribosomal RNA (481 nucleotides) under uncultured bacterium. Its description in RNAcentral is "partial 16S ribosomal RNA". It matches the Rfam family "Bacterial small subunit ribosomal RNA", at positions 28 to 507 of the family's 1533-position model. The record is from RNAcentral.